This 428-nucleotide ribosomal RNA is filed under the name uncultured bacterium. Its description in RNAcentral is "bacterial SSU rRNA". It matches the Rfam family "Bacterial small subunit ribosomal RNA", at positions 355 to 774 of the family's 1533-position model. The record is from RNAcentral.
UAAGGAAUAUUGGUCAAUGGACGCAAGUCUGAACCAGCCAUGCCGCGUGGAGGAUGAAGGCCCUCUGGGUUGUAAAGCUCUUUCAGGUGGAAAGAAAACGCAUAGGUUAAUACCUUGUGCGGAUGACGGUACCAUCAGAAGAAGCACCGGCUAACUACGUGCCAGCAGCCGCGGUAAUACGUAGGGUGCAAGCGUUAAUCGGAAUUACUGGGCGUAAAGCGUGCGCAGGCGGUUUUGUAAGUCUGAUGUGAAAUCCCCGGGCUCAACCUGGGAAUUGCAUUGGAGACUGCAAGGCUAGAAUCUGGCAGAGGGGGGUAGAAUUCCACGUGUAGCAGUGAAAUGCGUAGAUAUGUGGAGGAACACCGAUGGCGAAGGCAAUCCCCUGGGCCUGUACUGACGCUCAUGCACGAAAGCGUGGGGAGCAAACA